Molecule: ribosomal RNA, 535 nt
Filed under: Meyerozyma guilliermondii
Lineage: Eukaryota; Fungi; Ascomycota; Pichiomycetes; Serinales; Debaryomycetaceae
Description: LSU rRNA
Rfam family: Eukaryotic large subunit ribosomal RNA
Source: RNAcentral
CUUAGUAGCGGCGAGUGAAGCGCGCAAAAGCUCAAAUUUGAAAUCUCGGCGCCUUCGGUGUCCGAGUUGUAAUUUGAAGAUUGUAACCUUGGGGUUGGCUCUUGUCUAUGUUUCUUGGAACAGGACGUCACAGAGGGUGAGAAUCCCGUGCGAUGAGAUGCCCAAUUCUAUGUAAGGUGCUUUCGAAGAGUCGAGUUGUUUGGGAAUGCAGCUCUAAGUGGGUGGUAAAUUCCAUCUAAAGCUAAAUAUUGGCGAGAGACCGAUAGCGAACAAGUACAGUGAUGGAAAGAUGAAAAGAACUUUGAAAAGAGAGUGAAAAAGUACGUGAAAUUGUUGAAAGGGAAGGGUUUGAGAUCAGACUCGAUAUUUUGUGAGCCUUGCCUUCGUGGCGGGGUGACCCGCAGCUUAUCGGGCCAGCAUCGGUUUGGGCGGUAGGAUAAUGGCGUAGGAAUGUGACUUUACUUCGGUGAAGUGUUAUAGCCUGCGUUGAUGCUGCCUGCCUAGACCGAGGACUGCGAUUUUAUCAAGGAUGCUG